This 6003-nucleotide long non-coding RNA is filed under the name Salmo salar (Atlantic salmon). Its description in RNAcentral is "lncRNA (ENSSSAG00000099507.1, ENSSSAG00000108802.1)". The stretch from base 5722 to 5775 matches the Rfam family "UnaL2 LINE 3' element". The record is from RNAcentral. Lineage: Eukaryota; Metazoa; Chordata; Actinopteri; Salmoniformes; Salmonidae.
UAUACAUCUGGUGAAAUAUCAGUGUCAUUGUUAUUUUUGUGGCUACUCCAGCAAGUGACGUUGGUGUCACAUGCCUCGUGUUUACAAUGGCCCACGCAACAGGCGUCAACAUUGCGUGGAGUACAGAGUACAGUGUUGAUCAUCAAUCAAGCAACAAAGCCCUUUUUACAUCAGCAGGAAUUACUUUUACAGUAGCCUAAUCCCAGUACUCCAAAUAGCAAGCAGAAGCACAGUGGCCAGGAACAAUUCAGUAAGUACAUUGAAACUAAGAGGAGAACCAGGGUCAGAGGGGAGGCCCUCCGGUGGUCAACGCAUAUAGCAGACAAUGAAAGCCCUUACAAUAUUCGAUGAUUACAUUUCUCUAAGACAAGCAAUAGGCUACAUGUCCACCACCAAGUCAAAUCAAAUUUUAUUUGUCACAGGCGCCGAAUACAAGUGUAUGCUUACAGUGAAAUGCAUGUCAACGAUCUUUAUAAAGUUGUUUGAAGCGUCUAUGAUGAACAGAGACCGAAUGAGAAGGAAGGGAAGUUGACGUCCCUGGGAUGUCGUCACUUCAUUAUUGUGCGCACAUGCGCGUUCAUGUGAGGCGAGACCUUUUUCAAAACGUGUUUCAAGACACAGGAGAGGUCGGGUUGAAAUAUUACUGAUGUCUCACGUUAAAAAUGGACCAAAAGAUUGAUGCUAAACAACGUUUGACAUGUUUGAACGAACGUAAAUAGAUUUUUUUUUGUACUUUUCGUCGUGACUUUUCCCUCCCGCGCCGUACAUUUUGAGUAGCCUACCGAACGCGCUAACAACACGGAACAGCAUGGAGUUAUUUGGACAUAAAUUAUGAACUUCAUCAGAAAAAAACAACAUUUGUUGUGGACCUGAGAUUCCUGGAAGUGCCUUCUGAUGAAGAUUAUUAAAGGAGGGGUGCGUCACUUGAGUGGGUUGAGUCACUGAUGUGAUCUUCCUGUCCGGGUUGGGCCCCCCCCCCCCCCUUGGUUUGUGCUGUGGCGGAGGUCGGAGAUCUUUGUGGGCUAUACUCGGCCUUGUCUCAGGAUGGACCUGAGCCCUAGGACCAUGCCUCAGGGCUACCUGGCCUGAUGACUCCUUGCUGUCCCCAGUCCACCUGGCCGUGCUGCUGCUCCAGUUUAUUAUUAUUUGACCCUGCUGGUCAUCUAUGAACAUUUGAAAAUCUUGGCCAUGUUCUGUUAUAAUCUCCACCCGGCACAGCCAGAAGAGGACUGGCCACCCCUCAUAGCCUGGUUCCUCUCUAGGUUUCUUCCUAGGUUUUGGCCUUUCUAGGGAGUUUUUCCUAGCCACCGUGCUUCUACACCUGCAUUGCUUGCUGUUUGGGGUUUUAGGCUGGGUUUCUGUACAGCACUUUGAGAUAUCAGCUGAUGGUAAGAAGGGCUUUAUAAAUAAAAUUGAUUUGAUAUAUCUGUUCUAUAUCUAUAUGUGUUCUACAUCUAUACAUGUUAUAUAUCUCUAUCUGUUCUAUAUCUCUAUCUGUUCUAUAUCUAUAUAUGUUCUAUAUCUAUAUCUGGUUCUUUAUCUUUAUCUGUUCUACAUCUGUAAAUGUUCUAUAUCUGUUCUUUAUCUAUAUAUGUUCUAUAUCUCUGUUUUAUAUCGGUUCUAUAUCUCUAUCUGUUUUAUAUCUGUUCUCUAUCUGUUCUCUAUCUGUUCAAUAUCUGUUCUAUAUCUCUAUAUCUAUAUAUGUUCUAUAUCUCUGUUUUAUAUCGGUUCUAUAUCUCUAUCUGUUUUAUAUCUGUUCUAUAUCUAUAUCUGUUCUAUAUCUCUAUAUCUAUAUAUGUUCUAUAUCUCUGUUUUAUAUCGGUUCUAUAUCUCUAUCUGUUUUAUAUCUGUUCUCUAUCUCUAUCUGUUCUCUAUCUGUUCUAUAUCUAUAUCUGUUCUAUAUCUCUAUCUGUUUUAUAUAUGUUCUAUAUCUCUCUGUUAUAUAUCUCUAUCUGUUCUCUAUCUCUAUCUGUUCUAUAUCUAUCUGUUCUAUAUAUCUAUCUGUUUUAUAUCUGUUCAAUAUCUAUAUCUGUUCUGUAUCUAUAUCUGUUCUUUAUCUCUAUUUGUUCUAUGUCUUUAUCUGUUCUAUAUCUGUUCUAUAUCUCUAUCUGUUUUAUAUCUAUAUCUGUUCUUUAUCUCUCAGUUCUAUAUCUGUUCUAAAUCUAUAUCUGUUCUAAAUCUAUAUCUGUUAUUUAUCUCUCUGUUCUUCAUCUCUAUCUGUUUUAUAUCUGUUCUCUAUCUCUAUCUGUUCUCUAUCUGUUCUAUAUCUAUAUCUGUUCUAUAUCUCUAUCUGUUUUAUAUAUGUUCUAUAUCUCUCUGUUAUAUAUCUCUAUCUGUUCUCUAUCUCUAUCUGUUCUAUAUCUAUCUGUUCUAUAUAUCUAUCUGUUUUAUAUCUGUUCAAUAUCUAUAUCUGUUCUGUAUCUAUAUCUGUUCUUUAUCUCUAUUUGUUCUAUGUCUUUAUCUGUUCUAUAUCUGUUCUAUAUCUCUAUCUGUUUUAUAUCUAUAUCUGUUCUUUAUCUCUCAGUUCUAUAUCUGUUCUAAAUCUAUAUCUGUUCUAAAUCUAUAUCUGUUAUUUAUCUCUCUGUUCUUCAUCUCUAUCUGUUUUAUAUCUGUUCUAUGUCUAUAUCUGUUCUAUAUCUCUAUCAGUUCUAUACCUGUUCUAAAUCUGUCUGUUCUAUAUCUCUAUCUGUUUUAUAUCUGUUCUCUGUCUCUAUCUGUUCUAUAUCUAUAGCUGUUCUAUAUCUCUAUCAGUUCUACAUCUGUCACGCCUACUCCUGCUCUUCCUCCCCCUCUCUCAGCCUGCUUGCCCAGCGCCCAUGUCUCGGCCGACUCACCCAGGUGGGACGCCUGGUGGCACCCCUAGAGGGGGUACUGUCAUGCCCGUUCCCACUCUUCCUCCCCCUUGAGGGUGCCAGUCUCUCCAGGAUUACGCAAUCAAGCCACCAUUAGUACGCACACCUGCCUUUCCCAGUCACGCGCAUCUGCGCUCAUUGGACUCAGCUGAACUCUAUUACUUGUGUUUUUGCCUUCCCUUUAAAUGUCUGUUCCCAAACUCUGUUCCCUGCUUCAGGAUUUAUGUUUGUCAUAUGUCCUUGUUUACCCGUGUGCUAACGCUGUUCCUGUCGUGUUCUAUGUCCGUCACUGAUUAAAUGUUUGACUCCCCGUACCUGCUUCUUCUGUCCGGCGUCACUCCUUACAACAUCUAUAUCUGUUCUUUAUCUCUAUGUGUUUUAUAUCUGUUCUAUAUCUAUAUCUGUUCUAUAUCUUUUCUAUAUCUCUAUCUGUUUUAUAUCUCUAUCUGUUCUAUAUCUGUUCUAAAUCAAUAUCUGUUCUGUAUCUAUAUCUGUUCUAUAUCUGUUUUUUUUUUUUAUCUCUGUCUGUUCUUUAUCUAUCUGUUUUAUAUCUGUUCUAUGUCUAUAUCUGUUCUAUAUCUCUAUCAGUUCUAUAUCUGUUCUAAAUCUGUCUGUUCUAUAUCUAUAUCUGUUCUAUAUCUGUUCUUUCUCUAUCGGUUCUAUAUCUGUUCAAUAUCUCUAUCUGUUCAAUAUCUCUAUCUGUUCAAUAUCUCUAUCUGUUCAAUAUCUCUAUCUGUUCUAUAUCUCUCUGUUCUAUAUCUCUAUCAGUUCAAUAUCUCUAUCAGUUCUAUAUCUCUAUCUGUUUUAUCUCUCUGUUCUAUAUCUAUAAAUGUUCUUUAUCUCUAUCUGUUUUAUAUCUGUUAUAAAUCUAUAUAUGUUAUAUAUUUCUAUCAGUUCUACAUCUCUAUCUGUUCUUUCUCUAUCGGUUCUAUAUCUGUUCAAUAUCUCUAUCUGUUCAAUAUCUCUAUCUGUUCAAUAUCUCUAUCUGUUCAAUAUCUCUAUCUGUUCUAUAUCUCUCUGUUCUAUAUCUCUAUCAGUUCAAUAUCUCUAUCAGUUCAAUAUCUCUAUCUGUUCGCUAUCUCUCUGUUCUAUAUCUAUAAAUGUUCUUUAUCUCUAUCUGUUUUAUAUCUGUUAUAAAUCUAUAUAUGUUAUAUAUUUCUAUCAGUUCUACAUCUCUGUCUGUUCUAUAUCUCUAUCUGUUCUAUUUCUGUAUCUGUUCUGUAUCUCUAUCUAAUCAACAUCCUACCUGUGUUUUAUCGCUAUCUGUUCUAUCUCUAUAUCUGUUAUACAUCUAUAAAUGUUCUAUAUCUCUAUCUGUUCUAUAUCUAUAUAUGUUCUUUAUCUCUAUCUGUUUUAUAUCUGUUAUAAAUCUAUAUCUGUUAUAUAUCUCUAUCAGUUCUAUAUCUCUGUCUGUUCUAUAUCUCUAUCUGUUCUAUUUCUGUAUCUGUUCUAUCUGUUUUAUAUCUGUUCUAUAUCUAUUUCUGUUCUAUAUCUCUAUCUGUUCUAUAUCUAUUUCUGUUCUAUAUCUCUAUCUGUUCUAUAUCUGUUCUAUAUCUCUGUCUGUUCUCUGUCUCUAUCUGUUUUAUAUCUCUAUCUAUUCUAUAUCCUACCUGUGUAUAUCUCUAUCUGUUCUAUAUCUAUAUCUGUUCUAUAUCUCUAUCUAAUCUAUAUCCUACCUGUGUAUUUCUCUAUCUGUUCUAUAUCUCUAUCAGUUCUAUAUCCUACCUGUGUAUAUCUCUAUCUGUUCUAUAUCUAUAUAUGUUCUAUAUCUCUAUUUAAUCAAUAUACUACCUGGGUUUUAUCACUAGCUGUUCUAUAUCUCUAUCUAAUCUAUAUCCUACCUGUGUAUAUCUCUAUCUGUUCUAUAUCCCACCUGUGUAUAUCUCUAUCUGUUCUAUCUCUAUCUAAUCUAUAUCCCACCUGUGUAUAUCUCUAUCUGUUCUAUAUCUCUAUCUAAUUUACAUCCUACCUGUGUAUUUCUCUAUCUGUUCUAUAUCUCUAUCUAAUCCAUAUGCUACCUGUGUAUAUCUCUAUCUGUUCUAUAUCUCUAUCUGUUCUAUAUCUAUAUCUGUUCUAUAUCUCUAUUUAAUCAAAUACUACCUGUGUUUUAUCGCUAUCUGUUCUAUAUCUCUAUCUAAUCUAUAUCCUACCUGUGUAUAUCUCUAUCUGUUCUAAUCCUACCUGUGUAUAUCUCUAUCAGUGCUAUAUCUAUAUCUGUUCUAUAUCUCUAUCUAUUUUAUAUCCCACCUGUGUAUAUCUCUAUCUGUUCUAAUCCUACCUGUGUAUAUAUCUAUCUGUUCUAUAUCUCUAUCCGUUCUAAUCCUACCUGUGUUUAUAUCUAUCUGUUCUAUAUCCUACCUGUGUAUAUCUCUAUCCGUUCUAAUCCUACCUGUGUAUAUCUCUAUCAGUGCUAUAUCUAUAUCUGUUCUAUAUCUCUAUCUAUUUUAUAUCCCACCUGUGUAUAUCUCUAUCCGUUCUAAUCCUACCUGUGUAUAUAUCUAUCUGUUCUAUAUCUCUAUCUGUUCUAUAUCCUACCUGUGUAAAUCUAUCUGUUCUAUGUGGUUGUUGUGAUCUAUGCCAUGUUUUCUGUAAAUGUUGAUGGUUUUAUGUCUUUGACAUAGUGCUCUUGAAUGCUGGACACAUUUCCUGUAAAAGGCCUAAUAAAUGAACUGAACUGAUUAUGGGGCAUGAUCACUGAGCCAACCAUCUGUAGUAGGCUGAGAUACCUCUCAAUUGGCUUUGCAACAUUAAACAAGGCACAAAGAGACUUGUAGCUGUUGUGGUCCAUUUUAGCUAAAUUGGUAGAGCAUAGCGCUUGUAACGCCAGGGUAGUGGAUUUGAUUCCCGGGACCACCCAUAUAUAAUAUGUAUGCAGUAUGACUGUAAGUCUCUUUGGAUAAAAGCGUCUGCUAAAUGACAUAUUAUUAUAUUAUACAGUGCCUUCAGAACGUAUUCACACCCCUUGACUUUUUCAAAAUGUUGUGUUACACGGUGGGAUUAAAAUGGAUUGAAUGUCAUUUUUUGUCAACGAUCUACACAAAACACUCUGUAAUGUCAUAGUGGAAGAACAAUGGACAUUUGUUAAAAAUGUAUAAAAAUAAACAACACUAAUAUUCCGUUUUUCUGGGUAAGUCGCUAAAAGAUUUGCACA